Molecule: long non-coding RNA, 217 nt
Organism: Herpailurus yagouaroundi (jaguarundi)
Lineage: Eukaryota; Metazoa; Chordata; Mammalia; Carnivora; Felidae
Exons: 3
Source: RefSeq, a predicted model, not a curated record
UUUGCAUCCAGGUUCAUCAGGGAUACUAGCCUUUAAUUCUCCUUUUUAGUGGGGUCUUUGUCUGGUUUUGGAAUCAAAGUAAUGCUGGCUUCGUAGGAGGAGUUUGGAAGCUUUUGUUCCAUUUCUAUUCUUUUGGGACAGUUUGAGAAGAAUAGGUAUUAACUCUUCUUUAAAUGUCUGGUGGAGGAGCACCUGGGUGGCUCAGUCGGUUAAGUGU